This is a non-coding RNA of Gossypium raimondii (Peruvian cotton), 134 nucleotides long. The record is from Rfam. Lineage: Eukaryota; Viridiplantae; Streptophyta; Magnoliopsida; Malvales; Malvaceae.
GGUUAAAAAUUUCAUCUAUUUUUACUAUUAAAAAUUGGUCUUAUACGUCAAACCGUCACACGCCACAUGUAACUAUCUAGUUAUUUUUUAAUUACGCUAAUUUUUAACAGUAAAAAUUGAUGAAAUUUUUAACA